CCCUUAGAUGUUCUGGGCUGCACGCGCGCUACACUGAUGCGUUCAACGAGUUUAUGACCUUGCCCGAUAGGGUUGGGUAAUCUUUUUAAAUCGCAUCGUGAUGGGGAUAGAUUAUUGCAAUUAUUAAUCUUCAACGAGGAAUUCCUAGUAAGCGCGAGUCAUCAGCUCGUGCUGAUUACGUCCCUGCCCUUUGUACACACCGCCCGUCGCACCUACCGAUUGAAUGGUCCGGUGAAGCCUCCGGAUUGGCGCGCACCCCGGUGCCGCCGAGAAGUUGGCUAAACCUUACCAUUUAGAGGAAGGUGAAGUCGUAACA
Molecule: ribosomal RNA, 316 nt
Filed under: uncultured eukaryote
Lineage: Eukaryota
Description: partial 18S ribosomal RNA
Rfam family: Eukaryotic small subunit ribosomal RNA
Source: RNAcentral